GCUGGGCGUGGUCCAUUGGCUGGGCACGGAGCUCCAAACUCCGCCAAGUCGGUUCGAUUCCGACCGCCCGCU
RNAcentral lists this transfer RNA (72 nucleotides) under Sphingomonas sp. RNAcentral's name for it is "tRNA-Trp". It matches the Rfam family "tRNA". From Rfam's summary of the family: Transfer RNA (tRNA) molecules are approximately 80 nucleotides in length. Their secondary structure includes four short double-helical elements and three loops (D, anti-codon, and T loops). The record is from RNAcentral. Lineage: Bacteria; Pseudomonadati; Pseudomonadota; Alphaproteobacteria; Sphingomonadales; Sphingomonadaceae. RNAcentral also lists the same sequence under 1 other name.